This 2307-nucleotide long non-coding RNA is filed under the name Eucalyptus grandis. RNAcentral's name for it is "long non-coding RNA (EGRA_LNC003207)". The record is from RNAcentral. Lineage: Eukaryota; Viridiplantae; Streptophyta; Magnoliopsida; Myrtales; Myrtaceae.
UCUUCCUCAUCCUCUCCAUCUUGCUGCCGUGAACUACUUCUCUCUCCUUUUCAUCCUUUCUUGCGUGCGACACCUCCAACAGCAACUGAAGAAGACCCAGCUGCUUCCUUCGAAAAUUUUCCGAGCGUCCACCAAGCUACCCGAGAAGCUCAGCAUCCACCGAAACCGAAGCUGCUCCAUCGUCCACGCCAGCCUCCACUACCGUUGGUCCCCUUCGGUCAGAGCUUUCCUCGAUGGCCUCGCUUGUUGACUAAGCGAUCUGGCCAGCAGCAAGCCUGAAGAAGCCCACGAAACCUCAAGUGGAAGCUGCUGUCGUUCGUUGCUUCUCUGCGAAGACUCCACCGAACGCCAUCUUCUCUCCAUCCGCGGCCAGCUGUCCGCGAUUCUGCUUCCCCGGUCAACCAUCGAAGACCUCAGCAAGCACUGAACCAUUUUGUUGACUGAAGCUCCUCACCGCUUCGUGCGUCCAGCGAAGCAGCGUCCGCGAGCAGCUUCCGUCUUCAAUCUUCUCCAGCCCGUCGACCCAGCGAAGCCACGAAGUCUUGGACUGCCGAAACAUUGAAGAAACUCCAGUGCACGAAGACCAAAGCUGCUGCUCGCUCAGCUCACGUCUUCAAUUGAAGCCGCGCUCGAAUCCAGCUGCCAGACGCCCUUCACUCGGUCAACGAAGCAGCGAGUUCUCAGCUGGACGCCUCCGUGUUGACCCAGCAACUCACGCCUGCUAUUCCAUUUUCGUGAUGCCAUCUCCAGCAGCCCAGCCCAUGAGGCCAAUGACUUCAGCCCAGCAAUUGAUUAAUUUCGGCAGCCCAAUAACAGCCCACUUUGCAGCCCAAAUGAUCAGCAUUUUGGUCCAUCAAGCAGCCUGCAGUUUGACAUCUUGAAGCCCAGCAAUUUCCUUGUGAGCUCAGCCCAUCAUCAAUUAGAAUUGAAGCCCAGCCUUUUUGAGGCCCAGUUUCCAGCAACCAAUUGAAGUCCAGCCCACCAAUUUGAAGACCAAGUUAGUUCAGUCCAGAAAUUCAGCAGGUCCAGCCCAUUCCAGUGCAAGAACAAAUCUCAAUUGGGCUGAGAUUUGUUGGGCCAAGCUUAAGGCCCGGUCUAAGUCCGCCGGUGUCGUCGAAAGUCCAAUUUCGACCGCCGUCGCGUCGCCGUUGCGGUGAUUCGAUCCCCGCUUUUGAUCAAGUGAGUUUUACUCACUAAUGCUUUAUUAGUUUGCUAAUUAUGCUUAAGGUUGGUUAGAUUUAAUUAAGUGCAAUUAGGUGGUUAGAUUAGGUUAGAAAAAUUAAUUUAGUGACUUAAUGAUGCAUGUUAGGUGGUUAGACUUAGCUAUUAGCAAGUAGAAAUGUUUGGUUAUUUAUUGAAUGCAUCUCGGGAUUUUUCCCGACCCGUUUUGGGCUCCAAUAAGGCAAUAUGGGCCUAAAUUGGAUUUUUAAUGUUUAUUUAUUUAUUUUCGAAAUUUAUUUAUUUAAUUAUUUAUUUUUCCGGAAAUUCAACCGGGAUGGCCGGUGACCGGAAUUUCGUGCCGAUUGUCGUGGUGCAGUCCGUUUAUUUAAUUGAGCUUCAAUUUUUAUGGAAUUGAUUUAAAUUGUGAAAUUUGAGGAAUUGUCCCAAAUUGUUUGUUAUUGAGUAUUUGAUUGGUAAUGGCCGAGCAUGAGUAUAUAGCGCCAGUACGUUGAUGGGCUAUAUAGUAGGAGAAUGGUGAGAGCUAACUGAGACAUUAUUGGUUGAGACCAAUCAGGUACAAUAUUAUGGGACAUACGUGGUUCGGUGAUUGGAAGUAUCACUGGCGAAAACGGCGCCUUAAAGAACGCACGUAAAUGACUAUAGACAAACGUGGUUCGGUGGUUAUGGGAAUAUCACUGGUGAAAACGACGCCUUAAAGAACUCACGAUGUUGUCUAUAGCCGAUGUCACCUUGGCGAAAACGGCGCCCUAGAAAGGACACGUGGUUCGGUGAUCGAGGUUAUCACUGGUGAAAACGGCGCCUUAAAGAACGCACGGUGUCGGUGAUCGGUAUGUCAUUGGCGAAAACGACGCCCGAGAAACACAUGUGAUUUGGUGAAUGAGUACACCACUGGGAAAUCGUGGUAUGAGUGGGAAUGACCUAGAAAGGGUCUGGCUGACAUGUAAUCGACUUAGUCGAUUGACCAGUGCUUGAUCGAAUGUCGUGAAUUGUUUGAAUAUCUGUGUUUAACCUUGAAUUGCAGGUUGGAACUGAGGCCAAGGUAAGUCCUCUGACUCGUGUUGUGCUUAGGCAACCGUAUGGUGUAUUAGUUUACUAAUCGAGUCGUAGGGGGUAGGACUCGCUGAG